Long non-coding RNA from Meriones unguiculatus (Mongolian gerbil), 1892 nucleotides. RefSeq lists it as uncharacterized. The record is from RefSeq and is a predicted model, not a curated record. Lineage: Eukaryota; Metazoa; Chordata; Mammalia; Rodentia; Muridae. The transcript has 4 exons.
CACAAGGCAAAGAGCUGCAAAGAAUGCCUGUUCUCAUUGCAGAUGGAGGACAACUAAAUCAGAAAACCGAGGCAGAAUAGAGGAAAAUUUAUACCCUUGACAUUCCUAUAACACCAACAUCUCCAUCAGCAUGAAACAUUCAGAUAUGAACAAUGAAGGGUUUCUUUGUUCAGUUUUACUGAAGUUGUGCCAAGACUUUACUUGGGAUUUCUGAAUGUAUCAAUCAGUUCUAUAAAAUAAAGUAAAAUAAAAAAAAAGAAAAGAAAGAAAGAAGAAAAAAUCACAGCUGAGCAUAUGGGGUGUUACAAACAGGAGGAGGACACAACUCUCCCUUUGAUUAGAUUUCUCAAAAGAAUAAAAGUAUGUUUUCGAAGAAAGCACUUCAUUCCCUGACCUCUGUUUUAAACAUCAAAAAUGUUGAUGCUAAAGAUGAUGCUGAAAAGAGAUCCUUUGAAGAAGUAAAAAGUAAAACAAGUGACAAGGUACCUUAAGAGAAGCCAACAAAGAAUGUUUCUUUCUCUGACAUUUAACCACUAUGUUGGCAGAAUGCUCAGAAAAGAUCCUUCUCCUUAUUAAAUUAAAGCUAUUAUUUUUGCUUAUUUGCUCAGCUGUGAGACUGGGUCACCUCUUCUGCAUUUUCUCUCUCUACUCCUCUCUUCAUUUUUUAUUGAUUUUCUCUAGUGAAACUGGUAAGCUGUUAAGAAAACUGCCUUUUCUCUUUCCCUUGGGAAUGCCAGGUAUCCGGGCAGGGGAUAGCAGAUAAAGACAGUACAACAGUGAGUGCAGCAUGCAGAGUUGGAAGCUGGCCUGCCUUUCAAAAAAGUUCUCACCCUGUACAGUUAGAUGGCUGGGUUCCAACACUUUCAAAGGACGGCAGAAAAUGACAAAUGCAGGCACAGGUUCUGCCUGCGUUUGACAGGGGCAAGAGGAAAAAGCGGGUGCUGUGUUCUGCUUACCUUCUUAUUGUUUCUGUCUUGAGCUUUGCUUUAUUUUGCUUAUAAUUUCUAUAUAUUAAAAAAAAACCUCAUGUGUAAUAUUGCACUCUGGUAUUUAUGAAGAAGACAUAUCUUUUCAGAGUAUACCCAGGGGUGGCUCUUCUGCACCUGUGAUUUUCUCCUGUGUUACGCUCAACACCCAGAUGAGAACUGCUGUUCCCCACCUGGAAUUUAUCCUAAGCUUCUGGGAAUAGAGAUACGGAAAGGAAGCAUGGCAUUGAUUUCAGCAAUGGCAAUAAAUGCUACCUCUAGAUUCAAGACUAGCACUGAGGAGAACAAUUUGAGAGUAUUGACAAGACUGAAAGCCAGGCAGAACUGCAGUGAGAACCUAUUUGGAAAAAAAAAAAAAAAUAUAUAUAUAUAUAUAUAUAUAUAUGUACAGAAAAAGAAAAAAUGAAAAAGUAAAAGGAAAGAAAGAAGAAAAAGAAAGUCAGUCUUAGAAACUAGCAUACACCCAGCAGGAUUGUGUUUGGCUUGAGUCAAACCUUUGUCCCAUGUUCUCUCCACUGAAUCUAAUCUCCACUGAAUGCUACUCGUUUCUAUAGAUAGAUUCAUCACUUCUUGUCAUGCUGUGACAGCUCUAUAUUAUGCUGUAUUUAAUGUUGUCAUUCUUAUUUUCUUCUCACUCUGAAUAAUUCCAUCAAAAGUAAAAUCCAUGCCUAUAAUUAUCAAGUAAUUCUAUUGUUAUUGUUCGUAAUCAUUAAAACAUCUGAUUGUUCACCUUACUUAGAUGAGAUUGUGUGUCUAAAUUAUUGAGAUUUCUAUAAUAAGGAUGACUUUUAUGAAGUAAAAAUGCUGUAUCAAUCUGUGCUUAUAAAAACAAGUGGAUCCACUAGGAUUUUUCACUGGGAGAGGGAAGUACAUAGAAGAUUUGGAUGCAUAUUUUUAAUAAAUGCC